UUAUUAUAAUAUAAUAUAAGUAAAAUAAUAUAACAAAUUCAAAAAUAAUAUAUUAAAUCCAAAGAAGGAGACUUUGAAUUAAAUCCUUUUUUAUUAUAAAAUAAGCCGGGUGAUUUUAUAUAUUUUGUAUUAGAGGGCUAGCAUUUUAAUUUGGGGUUUAUAACAGACCGGCUCGUUUAUAUAAACUAAAACUAGACAUAUAUAUAAAUAUAUUAUAUAACCUCCCUAAAAUAUAUAAUAGAAACGUAUAUUUUAAUAAGCAAGAUAUAUUUUAAGUAACCCACUUUUAUAAAGUUAAAGUUUUAUUAACUUUGCACUAAAAUAUUAUAUGCGUGUAGCAAAACCUUAUAAUAUAAUCGACGAGAUAUUUGCUAAAUAUAAAUAUUGCGGGACUUUAAUUACUAAAUUUGUACGUACUUUAAAAAAAACAAUAUUACGUGCAGAUUUAAUAGUGCCUAAAUAUUAGCUAUAGCCGUAGGGGCUAGGUUUUGCUAAAUUUGUAAAUUUGCAUAAUAUAAACGCAAUAGGAACGCCGCUUAUAAAUAAAAGUUCCUAAAUUGUAAAAUUUGCAGGUUAAUUUCAAAUUUUUAAAAUUUAAUUCUCGAUCCAAAUAUUAUUAUUAAAAUAUUAUUAUAAGUUAUUAUAUUUAAUUAUAAUAUUUUGGUUUUUAUUUAUUAAUAAAUAUUAAAUUUGUACGCGUUCCCAGCCGUAAUAAUUUAAAUAUCUCCUCAGGGUAUUUUUAUUAUAAUUAAUAAUUAUUCCAGCGAAUUGUGAAAAAUUAUUAAACCUGUAAUUAAUUGCGACGUGAAAAAAAAUUACGCAAAUUCAAAAGUUAUAAAAAGUUUAUAUAAAAAAACUGGAUUUCCAAUGGAAAACCAAAGAUUUUUAAAAACAAUUCUAAUUUUUUAUUUAAAAACGCACUAAUUUUGUAAAGAUAAAAGUAAAUUUUUUUUUUAAAAUAUCCCAUUUUUAUCCUAAAAUUAAAUCUAUUAUAAAAAUACCAAAAUUAUUAAUUAUUACAAAUAUAAGAAAUAUAUAAAAUAGCAUUUAAUUAUUAUUAUUCAAGACACGCAAAAACUUUAAAAGGUUUUUAAUUUUAUUAAUUGUGUUUUAAAACCGUUGUAAUAGUUAUAUUUUGGGGCUUUUAAAGUUUAAUUGGACGUGCCGCUACCGAAUUUAAUAGGAGCAACUUUGUUAAAUAAAUAAACACGUUUACUAAAAUUAAUAAAACCAAAUUAAAUUAUUAUUAAAACAAAUUAAAUAUUUUAUGAAAUAAUUCUAUUUAAUUUCCAUAUUUACUUUUUACAGUUAAAAUACCAUAUAAAUAAGAGAAUAUAAGAACCCAGUUUUAUAAUUUGUCACGUAUUUGCCCGACAAUAUAAUAAAUACAACAAUAGAUUGAAAGAUCUUGCAAUACCUGCACUUAGCAAAUACCUCGUCGGUCCUAAUUAUAGGUCUUUGCUACACGAACGUAAUAUAAUUCUCUAAUAUAUUAAUAUUUAAAUGAAAAGAUAUUUUGUUAUUUAUUAUAAUAUUAUAUUUUUACGCGCGAUUAAAUAAUAAUAUGGGAAUAAGAUAUUAAAGUAAUAUUAAAAAUAAAAGAUAAAACGUUAAAAAUAACUUAACAACCCAUUUUUCUAAUAAAAAAACCCCAAAAGCCAAGAAAAACGGAAAAAGAAAAUUGGAAAUUAUAUGAAAUAAUUCCUCCUCACGCAAAAAUAAAAACCGAAGCAAAAGGAAAUAGCAGAGAUUUAAGUGAAAAUUAAAUCAAAUAUAAACCUAAGGAAAGAAAAUGCAAAUCCGGAAAAUCCGAAAGUUUUAAAAAUUGGAAAAAUUAAAAAAAAGAAAAUUGUAAAAUAAUUAUUUUAAUAUUAUCCUUAUAGUAAUAACACGCAUUUUGCUAAUUAUUAAUUAAAAAGGUUUUUGGGGUUGACCAAAUAAUAAACCAAAAUUUCAAAUUAAUUUAAAUUAAAAAACCUUUAAAAUUUAAAUGGCUAAAAAUAAAAAUACGCAAAAUAAUCCGGUUCAAAAAUUUAUUACCACGGUUAUUAGCAAAUUUAAUAUUCUAAUAUUACCCCAACGUCCCAUAUUUCCAAUAGUGGUUCCUUUUUUAAAUUUACCUAAAAUUAUAAUAAAAAAUUGUUAUAAAUAUUAAUCCAAAAAUUAAUUUAAAUAAUAUAAUUUUAUAUUAUAAUAUUAAUUAACUGUACAAAUAUAAUAAAUACUAACUAUUAUUAAUAUAAAAUAAAACGAAAUUAUAAUGAAUAGGAUUUAUUUUAUACUAUUAUAAAUUACCAAUUUUUACAAUAGUUUUAAACAGGUGGGAAAUUUAUAUAUAUUUAUAUAAAAAAGUAAAAACAACCCUCUUAUUAUUUGGGGAAAGCUGGUUUUAUUAAUAAAAUUAUUGUUAUAAAUACUUUUACUUGCUAAUAAUAAUUCGAAAUAAUAAGGAGCAUUUCUAAAUAUAUAAUAGCGUAAAAGAAGUUUUAUACUUAGUUCGUGUUUAUAUAUAAGUUUAUAUAAUUAAAUCCCCCUACAAAGUAUUUGUUUCUUAUUUUAUUUUACAAAAACUAAAAAAGAUUUUUUCCAAGCGGAAAAUAGUUAUAUUUUGAAAGAUAUUAAUAGUACUAGGAUAUUUGUUGUUGAAAAUAUAAAUUAAAAAUAUACCGGAUAAUAUUUACGCGGUAUUUUCUAUUAAUAUAAUUAAAGAAAAACCACUGCGCAUUUACUUAUAUAUUUUGUAUUAUUUGAAAACUUCCGUCAAUUUUAAAUAUAUUAAAAAACCCCAAGAUUUAAACAUAUCCGCAAAUCCAAGACUUUUGCAAAUAUAUUUAUUUCUUCUGUUUUUAAAAAAAUAAAAUCUUGCGUUUUUGCACAAAUUUUCGAAAUUUAAGUUCGGUUACCAAAGAACAGGUAUUUUUUGCAGCUAAUUGCAAAGAUUAUAAAUUGUGUGCAAAAUUUCUAUUAACUUAACAAGUUGGAUAUUUAAAAUAUAUAUUUUAAAAUCCGUAUUAGGAUAAAAAAUAAAUGGAAAAUUGUUAUUUUGCAUUUAUUAUUAAUGUUUUACAUAUAUUAUUAUAUGCUUUUGGUUUUUCAACUAUUCCAGCGAUUUUCCAAAAGGAUAUAUU
RNAcentral lists this small RNA (3128 nucleotides) under Pyricularia oryzae. RNAcentral describes it as "Magnaporthe oryzae sRNA M_BR32_EuGene_00030901". Lineage: Eukaryota; Fungi; Ascomycota; Sordariomycetes; Magnaporthales; Pyriculariaceae. The record is from RNAcentral.